This 722-nucleotide ribosomal RNA is filed under the name uncultured Fusobacterium sp. RNAcentral describes it as "bacterial SSU rRNA". It matches the Rfam family "Bacterial small subunit ribosomal RNA", at positions 28 to 776 of the family's 1533-position model. Lineage: Bacteria; Fusobacteriati; Fusobacteriota; Fusobacteriia; Fusobacteriales; Fusobacteriaceae. The record is from RNAcentral.
GAUGAACGCUGACAGAAUGCUUAACACAUGCAAGUCAACUUGAACUUCGGUUUGGGUGGCGGACGGGUGAGUAACGCGUAAAGAACUUGCCUCACAGAUAGGGACAACAUUUGGAAACGAAUGCUAAUACCUGAUAUUAUGAUUUUAGGGCAUCCUAGGAUUAUGAAAGCUAUAUGCGCUGUGAGAGAGCUUUGCGUCCCAUUAGCUAGUUGGAGAGGUAACGGCUCACCAAGGCGAUGAUGGGUAGCCGGCCUGAGAGGGUGAUCGGCCACAAGGGGACUGAGACACGGCCCUUACUCCUACGGGAGGCAGCAGUGGGGAAUAUUGGACAAUGGACCAAGAGUCUGAUCCAGCAAUUCUGUGUGCACGAUGAAGUUUUUCGGAAUGUAAAGUGCUUUCAGUUGGGAAGAAAAAAAUGACGGUACCAACAGAAGAAGUGACGGCUAAAUAUGUGCCAGCAGCCGCGGUAAUACGUAUGUCACAAGCGUUAUCCGGAUUUAUUGGGCGUAAAGCGCGUCUAGGUGGUUAUAUAAGUCUGAUGUGAAAAUGCAGGGCUCAACUCUGUAUUGCGUUGGAAACUGUGUAACUAGAGUACUGGAGAGGUAAGCGGAACUACAAGUGUAGAGGUGAAAUUCGUAGAUAUUUGUAGGAAUGCCGAUGGGGAAGCCAGCUUACUGGACAGAUACUGACGCUGAAGCGCGAAAGCGUGGGUAGCAAACAGG